RNAcentral lists this ribosomal RNA (679 nucleotides) under uncultured gamma proteobacterium TIHP302-01. RNAcentral describes it as "bacterial SSU rRNA". It matches the Rfam family "Bacterial small subunit ribosomal RNA", at positions 50 to 718 of the family's 1533-position model. Lineage: Bacteria; Pseudomonadati; Pseudomonadota; Gammaproteobacteria. The record is from RNAcentral.
AACACAUGCAAGUCGAGCGGUAGCACAGAGAAGCUUGCUCUCUGGGUGACGAGCGGCGGACGGGUGAGUAAUGUCUGGGAAACUGCCUGAUGGAGGGGGAUAACUACUGGAAACGGUAGCUAAUACCGCAUAACGUCGCAAGACCAAAGAGGGGGACCUUCGGGCCUCUUGCCAUCAGAUGUGCCCAGAUGGGAUUAGCUAGUAGGUGGGGUAAUGGCUCACCUAGGCGACGAUCCCUAGCUGGUCUGAGAGGAUGACCAGCCACACUGGAACUGAGACACGGUCCAGACUCNUACGGGAGGCAGCAGUGGGGAAUAUUGCACAAUGGGCGCAAGCCUGAUGCAGCCAUGCCGCGUGUGUAAAGAAGGCCUUCGGGUUGUAAAGCACUUUCAGCGAGGAGGAAGGUGGUGAGCUUAAUACGCUCAUCAAUUGACGUUACUCGCAGAAGAAGCACCGGCUAACUCCGUGCCAGCAGCCGCGGUAAUACGGAGGGUGCAAGCGUUAAUCGGAAUUACUGGGCGUAAAGCGCACGCAGGCGGUUUGUGAAGUCAGAUGUGAAAUCCCCGGGCUCAACCUGGGAACUGCAUUUGAAACUGGCAAGCUAGAGUCUCGUAAAGGGGGGUANAAUUCCAGGUGUAGCGGUGAAAUGCGUAGAGAUCUGGAGGAAUACCGGUGGCGA